AGAUUAAACUAAAGAGUUUGAUCCUGGCUCAGAUUGAACGCUGGCGGCAUGCCUUACACAUGCAAGUCGAACGGCAGCACGGAGCUUGCUCUGGUGGCGAGUGGCGAACGGGUGAGUA
Molecule: ribosomal RNA, 118 nt
Filed under: Duganella sp. CY15W
Lineage: Bacteria; Pseudomonadati; Pseudomonadota; Betaproteobacteria; Burkholderiales; Oxalobacteraceae
Description: partial 16S ribosomal RNA
Rfam family: Bacterial small subunit ribosomal RNA
Source: RNAcentral